AAAAUCUUCUGAAGGACUUUUUGAGGCAGUACAUAACCUAUCUGAACGGGUCUUCAAUAAAUAAGUCAAGUAGUCAUGGCUGGAGGUGCUCAUGCAGAAGAAUCCCAAUUUAAAGGUCUGUCAAAGUAUUUUAACUCACAGACAUUGAAAGGGCGAGCAAAUGUUGCCAAGGCUACUUAUGCUGGAAUUGCUCUAAUAACUCUGUAUAUGAUGACUGGUCGAAAGAAGAAAGCAGAACCAACACCCAAGAAGUAGAAAGAAGAAUUUAUUAACUUCACAAUCAUGAUAUAAUAUUGGAAUAGCUUACAGAGUUGAUUAAAUAUAAUUCAGGUUUAUUAGAUUACUUUUUUCCAUGUAAACAGUUGGAUGUGUAAAAAAAAGAAAAUGUUUAAGCAGUAAAAACUAAGUAAUAUGAAAAAGCAAGAAUAAAUGUAAAUAAACAGUGAAGUCGCAUGUGCUUAUAUUUGACUGAAACGGAUAAGAGUACUUGUUUAAAGUGCAUUACAUACUAAUACUAGCCACCACACAGUCCUUCUCUGAAGAGAAUAUUAGCCAAAAUGUAAUUAGCAUCUAAUUACUAAUUAGAUGAAUUAGUAACUACUUAAUAAUUAAGACUUAUGUUAGCAUUCGAUGGUCACAACUUUACUGUAAGUACUUAUUGACUUGGUUAUGCUUUGGAAUUUGUAAGGAAUUUAGAAAGACUUAACUGUAAGUUACCUAAAAUAGAUAACUAUCUUGCUUCCUUCAUAAAAAUAAAUAACAUAAUAUAAUUUGUAAAGAGUAACUCAGAAAUUUAAUAAAGCAUUGUUCCAAUAUA
This is a long non-coding RNA of Limulus polyphemus (Atlantic horseshoe crab), 817 nucleotides long. RefSeq lists it as uncharacterized. The record is from RefSeq and is a predicted model, not a curated record. The transcript has 3 exons. Lineage: Eukaryota; Metazoa; Arthropoda; Merostomata; Xiphosura; Limulidae.